RNAcentral lists this long non-coding RNA (12401 nucleotides) under Ananas comosus (pineapple). Its description in RNAcentral is "long non-coding RNA (ACOM_LNC003952)". Lineage: Eukaryota; Viridiplantae; Streptophyta; Magnoliopsida; Poales; Bromeliaceae. The record is from RNAcentral.
AAUAUUAUCAAUUGAAGAUGGAACAGUGUUGAAAUCUUUCAAUCACUUACUACACCGCAACAAGAAAAUUGAUUUCAUCGAGCAGUUCAACGAGAAGCUACUGGUCAAGCAAGAGAAUGAGAACCUCCAGAUUCUUGACGUAGGCUGUUAAUCUUUAUCUUUCUUGUUUUUGAUUUUUUUUUCCUUUUUAAUUUUAAGAAGCAUAUUAUAAUUCUUGGAGCAGGUGAGGAACUCGGAGCUGAUAGAAGUCAGUAGGACUGAUUUCAUGACCCCUUCUGCAUUCAUUUUCCUAUAUGAGAACCACCUUUUCUUAACAUUCCGGAACAGGACUGUCGCAGUUUGGAAUUUCCGGGGUGAGCCAGUCACCUCCUUUGAAGACCACCUGCUCUGGCAUCCUGAUUGUAACACUAAUAACAUUUACAUCACUAGCGACCAGGACCUGAUAAUCUCGUACUGCAAGGCUGAAAGUGAAGACGAGGGAGAAGGUAUUUAAUUUCCUUCCAUACUGAAAAAUUUUGCUGUUACUCUGCGCCUGUUUGGCUUGGCUUUUGGUGAACUUCCCUACUUUAAAAAAGCAAUCGUUUCGUGUUUGGCAAACAAAAACCAUGGACCAUCUUGUUUUGCCCGAAGCUAAAUUACGUGCUUGAAUACCAAAAGUAGAAGAUCUAAUUUGAAUCUUCUGUUUUUUCAAAUAGCUUUACCAACUGUUCUGCAGAAUCUCAGGACGCGCUAGCAGGCCAUUUUUUAAGCAAAAACAUUUGAUGUUAUGAUCUAAAAAGAAACCUUCACAGCUUCUCCUAUAGGAUCUAUCAACAUGAGCGACAUCCUCAGCGGGAAGUGUGUCGCGAAGAUCUGUCCCCGUGAUCCCUCUCUACAGAUUGCCCCUCGCAAGCGGGGCGACCCGAGCCGUUCUACCAUCAGGAGCACUAUAAGGGAAGCUCUUGAAGAUGUAACUGCACUCUUCUAUGACGAGGAUCGGAACGAAAUCUAUACGGGGAACAAGCAAGGCCUGAUCCAUGUUUGGUCAAAUUAGUAGCUAUACCUAAUAGCCGUCUGUAUAAUGUAUCUCAUUGCCAAACAUCAGCUGCAUCCCACCAUCUCCAUGUAUCAUGCUCUGCUUUAGAGCCUCUUUGUAGCAUGGGUUUCAGUUUCAAAACCUACCAUCCCGUGUUACCCUGCGGUGUUUCUAGGUGUAUUUUGUGUCAUAUCUAUGAUUAUAUCAGUAUGUAGCAACUGCAUCUUUGUUUUAGGAGAAAAGCUCUUUCUUUCCGGUUUUUUCUGUUGAUCUUUUUGUGGCAGUGUGUUUUCUCAUGGAACACAUUAUCUGUGGGAAUGAUUAGCAUCAAUUGCUAAUGUUGUUUUCUGAGUUUGAUUCUGAUUUCAUUUUCGAUCUUUUGGUCUCGACUCUAACAUUUUUGUGAGUAAAGAUUGUUUUGCAUAACAAUUAAAUUAACUUUUGCCUGUAUUUUUUUUUUUUUUUUGGUUGUUUCAGACGUUUCGAAUAGAAGCUAUAGGAAAUAAGCUAGAUUGUUGAAAUUUGAAACACUGAACUACUGGAGACUAAAUUUAAUCACGAUCAAUCUUCUGUGGUCUAAAGAGUAUCACUGCAACCAAAAUUAAUGUUAAACUUCAAAGGUCAAAUUCGGCAACUAAAUGCAAGAUUAUCACAAGAAAUGAUGAUUUCUGCGUUUUGCAUAGUUUCAACUAAGACGUUGCGGUUGAGGACGGUUGUGUUAUUUGAUAAUUUUUUAUCAUUAAAAUUUGAAAAUCUGAGAGGAAAAUUAAAAUUCUGAGUGAAACUUACAGAUAUCAGAUUGUUAAUAUUGGAACACUGGAAACUAAUCUGGAUCAUGAUUCUUCAUUCCUUCAACUAUUAUCGAGACCAAAAUUGCGGAACCGAAGUUGGCAUCAAAACUCUAAUACAGGACGAGAUUUCCAAGCAACUGCAAGAUUAUUUACAAGAAUUGGCCCUGCUCAGUUGAAUGCCCCCGAUUCAGGAGCGGGGUCAGAGGAGAACUCUGAUUUUUUAGGCUCCCUCUCUGCAGUCUGACUCGGCUGUACAGUUUGGCGCCGUGCAGCUCCGUCCGCAGGGCCGUCUUGGUCGCCGGGCCCGCAGUCGGCCCCAAGAUCCUCCUCUGUUUUGCUGCUGUCAUCUUCUGCCGCUGCUGCGUUGGCAACGGAAGCGGCGAACCCAGACCACGCCUGCUCGAGCCUGGCUAGAGCCUGCACCAGCUCGUCCGACCCCCUGCCCGUCAGCUCCUUCAUCUGCGCCUCGAAUCCCCGCAAUUUCCGAGCCAGCUCCGCCACCGGCCCCGCGGUCUCUGUCACGGCCUCGUCCAGCUCCCACAGCUCCCACACAUCUUCCGCAUCAGAAGCCGGGCCGAGGAGUUUGUCGAGCCGUUUGAAGAAGAUCCAAGAAGAUAACCCCGCGGCCUUUUCUCUUUCGUACCUGGUUUUCACCUUUCUGAUCCGAUUCUUGCAGCUUUCGACGGUCCAGCGCCCCUGGUCGCGGCUGUUGACGGCAGCGGCGAUCUCCCACCAAUCUUCCUCGCUGAGAUUGCCACGGUCGCGCUGCUCGUACUUAUCGGCCCACGCUUUGAUCACGGCCCGUGUCGCGCCAACGCUGGCGCUGCGGAAACAGCGCCGGGCUGAGGACAAGGGCUUGUACUUCUUGCCAGAGACCCGAUCAUCCUUCGCCAUGAGAGUGAGGAAGGGGUGUUGGUAAACAGAGAGAGAGAGAGAGAGAGAGAGAGAGAGAGAGACAGAGAGAGAGUGAGUAACUGCUUGAAUUUGAAGCGUUUCGCGGUGGUUUUGUAUGGGGGGAAAUUGCACCGCUAGUCCCUGAACUUUUUAUCUCUGAUGUUGUUUUGGUCCUCAAACUUCUGAGUUAGAUGUUAGUGGUCCCUAAACUUUUUUUAAAGUUUGAUUUUAACGCUUGAAUGUAUUUGUAACUAGAGAAUAAAUUAUUACCUGUGCCUAGUGCAUGCUUAUUUAUGUAUAUUAUAUAUCGUAUAUUACAAUCCCACUGUCUAUUGAGUUUUUUUUUUUUUUUUUGCUAUGUAAAAAUUGGGCAUCUAAAUUUAAAGUAUGAGAUAAAUGAAGAAAAAGAUAAAUUUGUAAUUUAUGAACAAAAAGUUAAGAGCAAUACUAUCAGGACACUCCAAACACCAUACAUCUACUUCAUCCAAGAGUUAUUAUUUCUUACUUAUCACAUCAAUUAAUUUUUUUUUUUUUGAGAGAUAGGUAGUACGCUACCCGCUUCGUUUAUUUCAUUUAGACAUAAACUUAGCUAGAAAUGUGAAUCAACUAGGAUUCGAACUUGGGUCUCGAGCACCAACCACCAAGCACUUUGCCACUUGCUCUAAGGACGGUCGGUAUCACAUCAAUUAUUAUUAUUAAUUAUUAUUAUUAUUAUUAUUAUUUACUAAAUUAUUUGGACUUUUAUGAACUUUAGCCUCUAGGAUAGAAAGUGUAAGAUCUACACCUAUUGUCACGUUCGAGUCCAACCAAAUUGACUUGCUGGGUAUAUGUAACAGACUUGUCAAACGAGCAAGAUUCCUUUACCGGCACGAGACGUAAAUAUAUAACAACCUGUACAAUGCAUAAAUGAUAUGGGUACAAUAGAGUAUUGGAGUAAAUUAAUUACUUCUAAAUUAAAAGCAUUACAGUGACUUCUUUAAAGUUUACAAUAUAUUAUUUUUCAAAAUUAAUUUUGUUUAAACAAAAAGGUACUUUCACUAGACCUAACCGUGGAUGAUCUCGCUAACUCGUAGUGCUCUUGCCGUGAUCCCACAUCUCACGAUUGCUAGAAGGCUCUGAAAAAAAUGUUAGUAACAGUGAGGUGAAUUGAAAUAAAAUUUUAGCGGAUGAAACUGCCGAAAGUGGUGCUCAAUCCAAAGGAGGUACUAGUAGAAUAAUAAUAGUAAAUAAAAAACUAUUUUUAUAAUAAAAAUACAAGUAAAACAAGUGCAAUUACUAUGCCUUAAAUAUAUACAACUAGUUUAGGACCCGCGCUUCGCGGCGGAUCGAUAGUAUUUCAGUCAAUCGGCAGAUAUAAUUAUUAAAAUUUUAAAAUUAAAAAAUUAUAGCCUUCUAUACAUUAUAAAGCUAAUCUUUUUUUAUUAAUAUUUUUUAACUUUCAGUAUUUGUAGAGUUAAAAUAUUCUAAUAACUUCACCUAAAAAUUCAAUUAAACUUAGUAGUUUUAGUAGUUAUUUUAUAAAUUAAUUUUUUAAUUAAAAUUUAAGGAUUUAUUCUAAAUUGCAAAUAUAUAAUGUUAUCCUUAUCUAGUUAACAUUGAUUGGAAAAAGAAGAAAUUAUUAUAUGCACCUAGUGUAUAUUAACACACCAUACACCACAACUUAUAUUAAAAACUAAUUUUUGAUAUCAAAACUUAAUUAAAUAUAUUUGAAUUAUAAAGUCUAAUAAUUUAAAUAUAUUUACUGAAUUAAAUUUUAAAAUCUCUAUUAAAUGUUUUAAGUAUGUGGUGUAUGUUGUAAUAUAUAUCCAGUAUAGAGAAUGCUUGACAGAGUAUAUUUAUAAUUGCAAAAAAAUAGGAGAAAUCUUUAGUUGCACCUGAUAUAUACUAAUAUUUCAUACACCAUAAAAGUAUAUUAAAUGAUUGAUAGAAUAUCUAAUAAUUAGUAUUAAAGAUUUUUAUGAUGUGAUGGAACUGCCAAAUUAUAUAUCUUGUAGAUUAUAUAUUAAAAAAGAGUUUGAUGUAUGCAAUAUUUUAAUAGAUCGGGUGGAUGUAAUAUUGUUGAAGUAGAGGAGGGAGAGGAAAGAAAACACAUGUCGCUCUGAGAGCUUUUAAUAUGACCCAACUAUCAAAUUAUAUAUCUAUAGAAGAUAUGCCAUAAUGAUAUAGUAUGUCAUUGGUUUAUAUGUUUACCCUAAACUAUUUCUUAUCUCUAACCAAUCAUUUGGUUCGGUUUGACUUCUCGUUUAGCAUUUUACGAAGAGUCGAAAAUAAUCAGCAUCUCUCUAAUCGGUAGGCACUUGAAGUCGAACGAAAUCAAUAUCUCCAAGUACAAUAAGGAGUCAAGAGGAAUUAGCAUUUCCCAAUAUGGAGUAGGGCAUCGAAGAUAAUCAGUAUCACCCAUUUUGCAACUUCCAGAAUGUCGUGGCUUGUAUCAUAGCUAAACCCUAAGUUCUCAUUAGGGUUCAUCACAAGGUUCAAUUAUACAUUUUUUUUUUUUUUUCUCUAGCUCAAGUUUAGUUUAGAGUUCAAAUAUUACUAUUUAUCACACCCUAAGUUCAAUAUCACUAUUAUUUCUCCUAUAUUCCAAUCUUCACAUGAUACUCAACAUGCACAUUAGUUAUUGUUUUUAGCAUGGAAAAUAGUUAGAAACCCUAUUUUUCCUAGGCUAAAGGCCCUUGAGCCCUCUUAACCUCCUAAACCUCAUAACAUUGAACUAAAUAUAUCUUUCUUUAUUUUUUACCCAUAAUACAUACAAAGGAAUACAAAAAAUUUUAGACAAAGAAAAGAUCAAAUGCAUCUUACAGUGAUAUUCUCCACCUUUAGUUGAAUCUUCCUUGUAGAUAAUUCUUGAUCUCUUUAAAAUUUUAAAUUUUUUUUUGAAAAAAUUCUAACCAAGUUAGAAUAAUAAAAUCUUCUAUUUGGAAAAAAAAUUCCCUAAAACCAAGCUCUAAAAAUCCCAACUAUAUAGAUGAUAUAACACAUCACUAAACUAGAUCUACUUAAAAUUGAUAACACUAUUUUCAUAAAACAAAAUAAAUAGUAUUAGCUACCAAUCAAAUUAGCACUGUUUUUUCCAAGACUGUUUCUUUCAAACUUCUAUUUUCUGUCUACCCCUCUCGACCAAGCUUUCCUUCUCCAUGCUCCUCCCGCUCUAACCUUUUAUCCUGAAUUUAGCUGGGUAGCUAGCCAAAAUCCAACUAAUAGGUUUGGCUGUUUGUUUACUUUGCUAUCAUUUUCUACAAUAUUAUCAUUACAUUUUCUACGACCUACUCUACAAUCGUCUAGAUUUUCAUCUCCUUACUUCACUCUUCACUUCAAAAUUUUCUUUUCUUUAAUCUACUCGGCAUCACUGAUUAUAUUUUUCUUUCGACCGGGAGCUUGACGGACUUGAUGAGCGGGACAUUUCGCUGUGAGUUGAAGGAUGACAGUUGGACCAGAGAUGCAGUCUGAAUGAUUAAUUUUGUCCAUCUUCUUCUCUCUAUUUUUUUUAUAUUUUGAGCUUAACAUUCAUGAGCUUAAUUGAUAAUUAGGUCGGAGAUUUUUCAAGCUUCGAGGGCUACUAUAUUUAUAUUCUCUUUUUUUUUUUUUAAGUUUUAGAAACACUUGUACUUUUUUUCCUUCUUUCCUGAUAUAAAAAUAUGCUUAUUUUAUUUUUAAAAAUUCUACAAUAAAGUAAUUAAGUCAUACUUUUUUAAUCAAAUGCCAAUGGUCUAAUGUAAAAACAAGUAGUAACACUAAUUUAAUGCAUUGGCAAUGCUCAUCCAUCUCUUCAAAUACAGAUCAUGAAAGGGGAACCCUAAAGCUGGGCUCCUCGGGCUUUGCGGGUCUCAUUCUUGUCCUUGAAAGAAAAAAAAGAAAAAAAGGGGAAACAGAGGGUGACUUUCGGGGAGUCUAAAGAUUGUGCUGUGUGGUGUGUGCUGUAUGCUUUGCCUGUUGUGUUCUAUCCUUGAAAAUGACAAAAGGGGCUUUCGCGUCCCAUCCUUUGUGUCGGUUCGCUUUUUCUUGUCUGGACUCGGUUCAUCGACUUGUUAUCUAUUAAUAAAGGAAUCUGUCUCUUUUUUUCACCCUCUCUCCUUUUCUUCCACCUUACUAAACCAUAAAUCCAAUUAUCAUCCCUGCCUUUUUCUCUCACAAACCCUAAACCUAAUUGUAUAAGUUUUUAGACCACUGGUAAUAAUAAAUUCUAUAUGAUUGAGAGAAGUGCUACUUAUACACCUGAACCUAAAAAAAAGGGGAGUAAAUCCCACACGAUCCCUUCUUCUCUUUGCUCUAAAAUCGCAUGGCCCGUGUCGCCUCCUCGAGCGUGCCCGAGAAGUUCCGCAACUUCCAGCUCCAGGUCCGUGCUCCCGCGCCCUCCAUUUCGCCGUAAUUUGAGUUCCUGUUCAUUCGAUUUCUUGUUGUUUGGUUCGAAUCGUCGAAGAUCGUGUGCUUGGGGCUCCGGAUUCGGUAGGGUUUGGCGUAUGAUGAGUUUUGUAGAUUUGUGGCUAUGGUUUUAUGAAGAUCGGCAUCUAUGGCUUACGAUAUGAUUAUGUUUAAUUUGGACUCUUGCAUUUAGCUUGUUCGUUAGGUGAAAGUCGAAUCUUUCGAUGUAGAGCAAAAUGAAUGGUUUUUAGUUAGGGUUACAGGUUCGUAUUCGAACUGUGUAUCGAUUUGGUGGAUAAGUUAGGGUUUUCAUCUAAUCAUAUUUGCAUGGUAAGAUGGGUUUACAGUCAUUGUAAGAUUUGGUGUGGUACCGAACUCUGUCGGUAGAUUGAUGAUAAAUUUAGGGCAAAGAUACUGGCAAGAUGAGCCCAGUAGAGGCUUCUUAAUAAUUCAUCAGACUGGAUAAUUGAAGGACUUUUUUUUCACAGUAACCCUAUUAAAAUUUCUCAUUUGCCAAAUAAUUCUUUUAAAAUUUUAUUUGGCCAACUAACCUGAGAAACAGUGAAUUAUUCACCUCUUUCAGAAAGUAGUGAAUGAUUCGCCGUUUUCAUAUUGUUAUUUUUUUUUUUUUAUAAGUUGUGAUUGUUAAGAUUGUAUGAGGAUUAUUAAAUUUUAUUUAUAGUUAAAAUUAUAUGGAUAGAUUGUUAGGAUAUUUUAAGUUGUUAGAAUUAUAUGUGAUUUGUGGUUGUUAAUAUUAUAUAUGGGCAUAGAAAAAAAGGAUAAAUCAUUCACGGUGAAUCAUUUACUGGAAUCAUUUACUAUCUCUAAUAGAAAAAAGAAGACGGUGAAUAAUUUACCGCCUUCUAAAUUUCAUUAAAGGCGGUAAAUGAUGGACCGUCUUUCAAUACCCGACAGUGAGUUGUUAAAAUAGGGUUAUUUGAACAAAUAAUUUUUUACAAGGUUAUUUGGCCAAUUAUAAAUUUUUAAAGGGUUAAAAUAAAAAAAAUCCAUAACUGACAGGGACUUCGUAUUGCACAGUGAAGCAUCUUCUUUUUUUUUUUUUUACCUAUGUGGUUGCAAAGACUGAUAAUGAUCUAUCAUCACUUUCGUAUCUUUGGUCAUGAAGGUUUCGUUUUAAUCUGACUGUCAUUAAAAGAUGCUAUCCAGAAUUACCUGUAGGAAUUUUCCUUCAAAAGUAAAUGUUAUUUAAAUAUGCAAACCGGUAAAAGAUCUUGACAACUGCAUUGGUUCUAGCAUUUGUUCUUGCAAUGCAUGAUUCAUCUCUGUAAGGCACCCUCAAAAGUUGUGAAACAUAGCUGUCGAGAACGUCAAGAUAUGGCAUUGACCUGUUCCUUUUGCUAUUCCAGCCGGCUUUGGAAGAUGAUGACCGAGAAAAAUUGGUAUAAAAUGGAAAAAAAGAAGGAAGUUUAUGAUUGUGAUAAUUUUCUGGUGGUUCAGCAAUUGCCAUGAUUCAUAAAAGUAUUUAUAAGUAUCCUUUUAUGAUUUGCAAAGCUGCUGUGUGAGAUAAAGAAUUGAUGCAGAGUUAUUAUGAGAACCACAAUUUUAUAGGGAAUAAAAACAAAGCUGCCUAUGAGAUGGCAAUACCUGGAUAUAACCAUGUGCUAACUUUCUUGGUUCAAAAUGGUAUGACAGUUCAAUCUUCAGGAAGUUCUGUAUAUUCAUAGUUAUUAUAUUUUAUUAAUCAAUGCAUAUCUGACAAUGUAGACUUAUUAGACUGUCAUGAUACAUUAAUUUCUAGAUCAACUAGGUCCAGGAAAUUCUGAAACUUUUUUUUUUUUUCCUUAGUUCAAAAGCUGUCAACCUUUUUGAAAUCAUCCUAAACUUUUAAUUUUGAUAUUUCAAAAUUCCGUCAUUUAUUAUAUCUUGCUGCUCUAGGAUGUGAGCUUCACAAUUCGUUCAUUGGGUUCACUUUAAAUCCAGAAUUACAGUCUUUUAGUUUGAAUAUACGAUUUUGAAACUUUUUCUUCUGUACCUUAGAAAACUUAGGUUUAACUACUCGUGUUUGUCAGGUUGAACUAUUGGAUCGUUAAGUUUUUGUAUUCUUCACUUUCUUUUGUCUUAGAUUGUCAAGCUUCAUCUCCUUAUCAUCACCCCGUUUGAGCUUUCUUCAUUCACGGUUAGCAUGUCAUGUCAUCUUACAUUGUUUUGACAUUAUGGAUACGUAACAGAGAUUAUGUUUCUUUUCACUUUAUGUUUAAAUUAGAUAGCAUGAAAAUUCCCAAGUUCACCAUAGAUUGCAUAUAUUGGUCAGUGUUAUUAUACCCUGUUAAUUUCGAGGAUUAUACUGUAGUAGUAUUAAACAAAGAAUAGUUUCUCCGUUAAUUGCUUUAGAGAGAUGUUUUAAUGAAGACUGACCUUGUUUGCUUUAGAGUUGGUGUAUUUAUUUCUCAAUGCUCUAUAUUCAAUAUCUCUGGAUUAGGAUAACUAUCGAGUCUGUGUAUUAUGAUUGGCUGCUCGGCAGCCUCCUGGCUGUCUCUUUUUUUUUUUCAAAAAAAAAACUCUCACUAGAUGGAAUAAAUUUUAACAUAAGCAUGCAUUCCUGUCAGUGUUAUUGCUGCAAUUUGUGCUACUAUCUUAUGCAAACCGAAAGGUUGCCAAAAUUGAAUUUUCAAGUUUGCUUUUGUUUAAAAGUAUUUCUUGAAAUAAAUAAGGUUUAAUUUAUCGAUUCCGACGAACUUUACUAUAAUUAAAGCAAUGAAGCAAAAAUUUCAACCAGACAAAAAUUAAAUUCGAAUUGAAGAAAUACUAAGAUGAUGAUGAACUUCAAUAUAUGAGAUAAUAACAAUCAACUGAAAGCAUAUAUAAUAGUUCCAAAAGGUAAAUUCAGCUUUAUCAAACUUAAAGCUUUUAGAUUUGGUUGUUUGACAAAUAUGGUUGGUAAUGGUGGAAGGCUAGAUUGAAAGGGAAUAAUAGGAUAUUAGGAGAUGAGAGAUACAAAAAGUGCACUGUUCACAUGAUUGCGGGGGAUCCACGAUCGACGAGGAGAGCGGUACACUAAAGGUAGAACUUUGGUCACGGGAAAGAAGAAGAUGAGGUAGUGACUCGAAAGAAGAGGAGGGGUAGAAGUAGAAGUUGAUCUUGUCAUGAGGAAAAAGCGACAACGAACAAAUUGAGGAAAAAGACGAUCUCAGCACGAGGAAGAAGCGUUGAUGAUCUCAUCGGGAAGUAGAACACCAAGGAUAAAUAGUAAAAGUAUAAUUUUCUAUUCAUCAAAAUAUAUUCCUUAAGGCUUCAAAAACCAAGUAUUUAUAGUGUUGAGAGCCCUCCUAUAAUAAAUUACUGUCCUUUCGUUUUCAACAUAACGGUCACUCAAGGGUCAUGUAUAGAAGACGAAGCAAUUUUGGGAAUUCAAAGGUCUUUUUUGGAAUAGUUUUUUUGUUUAUUGGAGAAAAGGGUUUGGAUUAGCUAAACCAACUAAAACUAAAUGAGUUAAGUCCAAAUCAAACAUAAACCUACAAAAUAAAAGAAAAUUGCAUUCGAAAAUAAACUGUGAUUUAUAUGCUGCAUCACUAUCUACAUCACUUUUUAUCUCAGUUCUUGGUUUGAGAUUGAGUUAUUUCUAGUUAAAGUUCAAUUAUGAAGUGUCUUAUCCAUAUAGUUAAAUUUUGUUAAGGAUGAAUUCAGUGCAGUUCAUAUUUGGGUAAUUUUUAAAUUUAGGGUUGUGGAAGUCAUAUUUGCUCAUAUAGUUAUAUUUAUACGUUAAUGCAUUGCUCCUCUUAGAAAUGCUGAAAUUAAAGCAUGGUCUGAUUCUCUUCUACAAAAUGGAUCAUGCUUUUGUCAUUCAUGUACCUUCAUCAUAAUUUUACAUAUCUUCUAUGAUACAGUUCUGAUUACAACAAUGUUUAGUAAAUUCUUUUAAUAUGAUUUUGUGUUGUUUAAUGCAGGAGGAAUUUGACAUUUAUGAUGACAAUUUCAAUUGGUUUCUCAAAUUACAAUUUCUGAAAAAGAGGUCCAAGAUCAUUGAGAUUGUUGCAGCAAAGGAUGUUAUAUUUGCUUUAGCACAAUCUGGUCUCUGUGCUGCUUUUAGCCGGAGUAAGUCUGAUGCUUUUCUAGUUUCCUGUUGACUCUUUUGUUUAUUCUAGUUCUAAUUCGGAUUUUUUUCUUUUUGUUGAUAGCAACAAAUAAGCGUAUAUGCUUCUUGAACAUAAGCCCCGAUGAAGUGAUCAGGAGCUUAUUUUAUAAUAAGAAUAAUGACUCUCUCAUCACGGUUUCCGUUUAUGCGUCAGACAGUUUCAGUUCCUUGAAAUGCCGGACCACUCCAAUAGAGUAAGAAAUGUACUUCCAUGUGAACGCUGAAGUUUUCAAGCAAACUUAAUUCUUCUUGUGUAUAGUUCACACAAUAAUGUACAUAUGUGCACAUACAUUUAUCUACACAAUGUGUGUGUAAAGGUUCUGAUAAGUCCUAAACAACUGAAGAUACAUGUUGACUUUCUUACCUUAAUUAUUAGCUUGUAGUGUGUGAUUUUAGGGUCAACCUUUGCAUGGUUUUCUUGGUAACUAUGGAAAUUGUACCAUGACAAACGUUUCUAUGUUGCUAAUACCUAAAUCCAUAAACUUAAGUUUUUCCUUUCUAAUUCAGUUCCGUGCAGUUCUUACUAUGACUAAUUUUUUGGACUCUGCCAGAUAUAUCAGAAGAAACCAGCUAGAUGCUGGUUAUUCUCUCUUUGAGACCGAAUCAUUAAAAUGGCCUGGUUUUGUUGAGUUUGAUGAUGUCAAUGGCAAAGUUCUUACAUAUUCAGCACAGGAUGGGUAAGUCACCCUCUUGAUGCUUUUCUCUUUACAAACCCUAAUCCAUCUGAUUUAUUUUUUUGCUUACAGUGCUUACAAAUUGUUUGGCAUGCUUACAGUAGUUACAAAGUGUUUGACCUGAAGAACUAUAACUUCUUGUACUCCAUGUCGGAGAAGAAUAUUCAGGACAUCAAAAUAAGGUUUGGUUCCCUUCUUCAUUAAACAUGCAUGUAGAUUAUUUUAUGCAUCUGAAUCUUUUCUUUUCAUAAUCUGAUAUUCGAAAAUCAUGCAUUUGAACAGCCCAGGCAUCAUGCUGUUAGUAUACUCGAGAACUCCUGGCUAUGUUCCACUCAAAAUAUUAUCAAUUGAAGAUGGAACAGUGCUGAAAUCUUUCAAUCACUUACUUCACCGCAACAAGAAAAUUGAUUUCAUCGAGCAGUUCAACGAGAAACUAUUGGUCAAGCAAGAGAAUGAGAACCUCCAGAUUCUCGACGUGGGCUGUUAAUCUUUAUCUUUCUUGUUCUUGAUUUUUUUUCUUUUUAAAUUUAAGAAGCAUAUUAUAAUUCUUGGAGCAGGUGAGGAACUCAGAG